This 1587-nucleotide long non-coding RNA is filed under the name Cucumis sativus (cucumber). RNAcentral's name for it is "long non-coding RNA (CSAT_LNC001489)". The record is from RNAcentral. Lineage: Eukaryota; Viridiplantae; Streptophyta; Magnoliopsida; Cucurbitales; Cucurbitaceae.
ACAAAAACUGACUCCCGGGCAUAUUUUUUUCGGCCUUUAUGGGCAAAGAACUUUAGUACCGCUCAAAAUGAGGCCACCCAGUAGUUAGGUGUGAAUUUUCGAGACCUUUGGCACCGUUCUAAGAUGGGUCCUCUCUUCGUAGGCUAAUGCAUUGGCCCUUUUUUGACCCGUUUUGGGGCGAAAACAAAAACUGACUCCCGGGCAUAUUUUUUUCGGCCUUUAUGGGCAAAGAACUUUAAGUACCGCUCAAAAUGAGGCCACCCAGUAGUUAGGUGUGAAUUUUCGAGACCUUUGGCAUCGUUCUAAGAUGGGUCCUCUCUUCGUAGGCUAAUGCAUUGGCCCUUUUUUGACCCGUUUUGGGGCGAAAACAAAAACUGACUCCCGGGCAUAUUUUUUUCGGCCUUUAUGGGCAGAGAACUUUAGUACCGCUCAAAAUGAGGCCACCCAGUAGUUAGGUGUGAAUUUUCGAGACCUUUGGCAUCGUUCUAAGAUGGGUCCUCUCUUCGUAGGCUAAUGCAUUGGCCUUUUUUGACCCGUUUUGGGGCGAAAACAAAAACUGACUCCCGGGCAUAUUUUUUUCGGCCUUUAUGGGCAAAGAACUUUAGUACCGCUCAAAAUGAGGCCACCCAGUAGUUAGGUGUGAAUUUUCGAGACCUUUGGCACCGUUCUAAGAUGGGUCCUCUCUUCGUAGGCUAAUGCAUUGGCCCUUUUUGACCCGUUUUGGGGCGAAAACAAAAACUGACUCCCGGGCAUAUUUUUUUCGGCCUUUAUGGGCAAAGAACUUUAGUACCGCUCAAAAUGAGGCCACCCAGUAGUUAGGUGUGAAUUUUCGAGACCUUUGGCACCGUUCUAAGAUGGGUCCUCUCUUCGUAGGCUAAUGCAUUGGCCCUUUUUUGACCCGUUUUGGGGCGAAAACAAAAACUGACUCCCGGGCAUAUUUUUUUCGGCCUUUAUGGGCAAAGAACUUUAGUACCGCUCAAAAUGAGGCCACCCAGUAGUUAGGUGUGAAUUUUCGAGACCUUUGGCAUCGUUCUAAGAUGGGUCCUCUCUUCGUAGGCUAAUGCAUUGGCCCUUUUUUGACCCGUUUUGGGGCGAAAACAAAAACUGACUCCCGGGCAUAUUUUUUUCGGCCUUUAUGGGCAGAGAACUUUAGUACCGCUCAAAAUGAGGCCACCCAGUAGUUAGGUGUGAAUUUUCGAGACCUUUGGCAUCGUUCUAAGAUGGGUCCUCUCUUCGUAGGCUAAUGCAUUGGCCCUUUUUUGACCCGUUUUGGGGCGAAAACAAAAACUGACUCCCGGGCAUAUUUUUUUCGGCCUUUAUGGGCAGAGAACUUUAGUACCGCUCAAAAUGAGGCCACCCAGUAGUUAGGUGUGAAUUUUCGAGACCUUUGGCAUCGUUCUAAGAUGGGUCCUCUCUUCGUAGGCUAAUGCAUUGGCCCUUUUUUGACCCCUUUUUGGGGCGAAAACAAAAACUGACUCCCGAGCAUAUUUUUUUCGGCCUUUAUGGGCAAAGAACUUUAGUACCGCUCAAAAUGAGGCCACCCAGUAGUUAGGUGUGAAUUUUCGAGACCUUUGGCAUCGUUCUAAG